RNAcentral lists this ribosomal RNA (250 nucleotides) under uncultured bacterium. RNAcentral's name for it is "partial 16S ribosomal RNA". It matches the Rfam family "Bacterial small subunit ribosomal RNA", at positions 524 to 776 of the family's 1533-position model. The record is from RNAcentral.
UACGGAGGGUGCGAGCGUUGUCCGGAAUCAUUGGGCGUAAAGGGCGCGUAGGUGGCUUCUUAAGCGUGCGGUGAAAGCCUGGGCUCAACCCGGGUCGGCCGUGCGAACUGGGGGCUGGAGCACUGUAGAGGCAGGCGGAAUUCCGGGUGUAGCGGUGGAAUGCGUAGAGAUCCGGAAGAACACCGGUGGCGAAGGCGGCCUGCUGGGCAGUUGCUGACACUGAGGCGCGACAGCGUGGGGAGCAAACAGG